Molecule: ribosomal RNA, 546 nt
Filed under: Athyonidium chilensis
Lineage: Eukaryota; Metazoa; Echinodermata; Holothuroidea; Dendrochirotida; Cucumariidae
Description: partial 16S ribosomal RNA
Rfam family: Bacterial large subunit ribosomal RNA
Source: RNAcentral
UAAGAGGUAAAGCCUGCCCAGUGAACUAUAAACUUCAACGGCCGCGGUAUCUUGACCGUGCAAAGGUAGCAUAAUCACUUGUCUUUUAAAUGAGGACCUGUAUGAAUGGCACCACAUUUCUUAACUGUCUCCUUUCUCUCCAAUUUUAAACUUCUAUUAACGUGAAGAAGCGUUAAUAAAAAAGAAAGACGAGAAGACCCUGUCGAGCUUAAGCCUAAAAAAAGAAUCCUAACAAAUUUAACAAUUUCUUUUCCAAAGAAAAACACCUUUUUCAAAGCUUUGGUUGGGGCAACCAUGGAGAAAAAAUAACCUCCAGUUUGAUAAAAAGAUAUAUUAAUCUUUUAUAAAUUUGUAACUUAAGAACCAAAAACUUUGGUAAACAGAAAAAGUUACCGCAGGGAUAACAGCGUUAUCUUCUUUGAGAGUUCACAUUGACAAGAAGGAUUGCGACCUCGAUGUUGGAUUGGGAUUACCAAGAGGUGCAGCAGCUUCUAAGGGUUGGACUGUUCGUCCAUUAAUUUCCUACGUGAUCUGAGUUCAGACCGG